Long non-coding RNA from Oncorhynchus keta (chum salmon), 1341 nucleotides. RefSeq lists it as uncharacterized. The transcript has 4 exons. NCBI's taxonomy places the organism in Eukaryota, Metazoa, Chordata, Actinopteri, Salmoniformes, Salmonidae. The record is from RefSeq and is a predicted model, not a curated record.
UUCAGUUAUGAAUAGGUCAAUGUCUGUCAUUCCUCCUCCUCCUCCUCCUCCUCUUCAGUUGUGAUUAGGUCAGUGUCUUCUGUUCCUCUUCCUCCUCCUCCUCUUCGGUUGUGAUUAGGUCAGUGUCUGCUGUUUCUCCUCCUCUUUGGUUGUGAAUAGGUCAGUGUCUGCUGUUUCUCCUCCUCUUUGGUUGUGAUUAGGUCAGUGUCUGCUGUUUCUCCUCCUCUUCGGUUGUGAUUAGGUCAGUGUCUGCUGUUCCUCCUCCUCUUCGGUUGUGAUUAGGUCAGUGUCUGCUGUUCCUCCUCCUCCUCUUCGGUUGUGAUUAGGUCAGUGUCUGCUGUUCCUCCUCCUCUUCGGUUGUGAUUAGGUCAGUGUCUGCUGUUCCUCCUCCUCCUCCUCUUCGGUUGUGAUUAGGUCAGUGUCUGCUGUUCCUCCUCCUCCUCCUCUUCGGUUGUGAUUAGGUCAGUGUCUGCUGUUCCUCCUCCUCCUCCUCUUCGGUUGUGAUUAGGUCAGUGUCUGCUGUUCCUCCUCCUCUUCGGUUGUGAUUAGGUCAGUGUCUGCUGGUCCUCCUCCUCUUCGGUUGUGAUUAGGUCAGUGUCUGCUGUUUCUCCUCCUCCUCUUCGGUUGUGAUUAGGUCAGUGUCUGCUGUUUCUCCUCCUCUUCGGUUGUGAAUAGGUCAGUGUCUGCUGUUCCUCCUCCUCCUCUUCGGUUGUGAUUAGGUCAGUGUCUGCUGUUCCUCCUCCUCUUCGGUUGUGAUUAGGUCAGUGUCUGCUGUUCCUCCUCCUCCUCCUCUUCGGUUGUGAUUAGGUCAGUGUCUGCUGUUCCUCCUCCUCUUCGGUUGUGAUUAGGUCAGUGUCUGCUGUUCCUCCUCCUCCUCUUCGGUUGUGAUUAGGUCAGUGUCUGCUGUUUCUCCUCCUCUUUGGUUGUGAUUAGGUCAGUGUCUGCUGUUUCUCCUCCUCUUUGGUUGUGAUUAGGUCAGUGUCUGCAGUUCCUCCUCCUCCUCUUCGGUUGUGAUUAGGUCAGUGUCUGCUGUUUCUCCUCCUCCUCUUCGGUUGUGAUUAGGUCAGUGUCUGCUGUUCCUCCUCCUCCUCUUCGGUUGUGAUUAGGUCAGUGUCUGCUGUUUCUCCUCCUCCUCUUCGGUUGUGAUUAGGUCAGUGUCUGCUGUUUCUCCUCCUCCUCUUUGGUUGUGAUUAGGUCAGUGUCUGCUGUUUCUCCUCCUCCUCUUCGGUUGUGAUUAGGUCAGUGUCUGCUGUUUCUCCUCCUCCUCUUCGGUUGUGAUUAGGUCAGUGUCUGCUGUUCCUCCUCCUCCUCUUCAGUUGUGAUUAGGUCAGUGUCUGCUGU